GAUGAACGCUAGCGGCAGGCUUAAUACAUGCAAGUCGAGGGGUCAGCAAUGACACCGGCGGACGGGUGCGUAACGCGUAUGCAACCUACCUACAUCAGGGGGAUAGCCCUAGGAAACUGGGAUUAACACCGCAUAAUAUUAUUAAUGGCAUCAUUGAUAAUUGAAAUAUUUAUAGGAAGUAGAUGGGCAUGCGUAAGAUUAGCUAGUUGGUAAGGUAACGGCUUACCAAGGCUACGAUCUUUAGGGGCUCUGAGAGGAGUAUCCCCCACACUGGCACUGAGAUACGGGCCAGACUCCUACGGGAGGCAGCAGUAGGGAAUAUUGGGCAAUGGAGGCAACUCUGACCCAGCCAUGCCGCGUGCAGGAAGACGGCCCUCUGGGUUGUAAACUGCUUUUGAAUGGGAAGAAUGUGUGGCUUGCGAGCUAUAAUGACGGUACCAUUAGAAUAAGCCACGGCUAACUACGUGCCAGCAGCCGCGGUAAAA
This 485-nucleotide ribosomal RNA is filed under the name uncultured bacterium. RNAcentral describes it as "bacterial SSU rRNA". It matches the Rfam family "Bacterial small subunit ribosomal RNA", at positions 28 to 525 of the family's 1533-position model. The record is from RNAcentral.